Molecule: ribosomal RNA, 697 nt
Filed under: Fusarium solani
Lineage: Eukaryota; Fungi; Ascomycota; Sordariomycetes; Hypocreales; Nectriaceae
Description: eukaryotic LSU rRNA
Rfam family: Eukaryotic small subunit ribosomal RNA (bases 1-181)
Source: RNAcentral
CUGCCCUUUGUACACACCGCCCGUCGCUACUACCGAUUGAAUGGCUCAGUGAGGCGUCCGGACUGGCCCAGAGAGGUGGGCAACUACCACUCAGGGCCGGAAAGCUCUCCAAACUCGGUCAUUUAGAGGAAGUAAAAGUCGUAACAAGGUCUCCGUUGGUGAACCAGCGGAGGGAUCAUUACCGAGUUAUACAACUCAUCAACCCUGUGAACAUACCUAAAACGUUGCUUCGGCGGGAACAGACGGCCCUGUAACAACGGGCCGCCCCCGCCAGAGGACCCCUAACUCUGUUUUUAUAAUGUUUUUCUGAGUAAACAAGCAAAUAAAUUAAAACUUUCAACAACGGAUCUCUUGGCUCUGGCAUCGAUGAAGAACGCAGCGAAAUGCGAUAAGUAAUGUGAAUUGCAGAAUUCAGUGAAUCAUCGAAUCUUUGAACGCACAUUGCGCCCGCCAGUAUUCUGGCGGGCAUGCCUGUUCGAGCGUCAUUACAACCCUCAGGCCCCCGGGCCUGGCGUUGGGGAUCGGCGGAAGCCCCCUGUGGGCACACGCCGUCCCUCAAAUACAGUGGCGGUCCCGCCGCAGCUUCCAUUGCGUAGUAGCUAACACCUCGCAACUGGAGUGCACGCGGCCAUGCCGUAAAACACCCAACUUCUGAAUGUUGACCUCGGAUCAGGUAGGAAUACCCGCUGAACUUAAG